AACCUGCUCUUUAAGAAUCUCUAACAACUACGGGGAAAGUGUGACAACAAAGGUUUGUUUGUGCAGGA
Molecule: long non-coding RNA, 68 nt
Filed under: Accipiter nisus (Eurasian sparrowhawk)
Lineage: Eukaryota; Metazoa; Chordata; Aves; Accipitriformes; Accipitridae
Description: lncRNA (ENSANIG00000016302.1)
Source: RNAcentral